RNAcentral lists this ribosomal RNA (458 nucleotides) under uncultured bacterium. RNAcentral's name for it is "partial 16S ribosomal RNA". It matches the Rfam family "Bacterial small subunit ribosomal RNA", at positions 338 to 794 of the family's 1533-position model. The record is from RNAcentral.
CCUACGGGCGGCUGCAGUGAGGAAUAUUGGUCAAUGGUCGGGAGACUGAACCAGCCAAGUCGCGUGAGGGAUGAAGGUACAGAGUAUCGUAAACCUCUUUUGUCAGGGAACAAAGGCGGGGACGUGUCCCCGGAUGAGUGUACCUGAAGAAAAAGCAUCGGCUAACUCCGUGCCAGCCGCCGCGGUAAUACGGAGGAUGCGAGCGUUAUCCGGUUUUAUUGGGUUUAAAGGGUGCGCAGGCGGUCUGUUCAGUCAGCGGUCAAAGCCCGGGGCUCAACCCCGGCCCGCCGUUGAAACUGGCAGUCUCGAGUUGGAGAGAAGUAUGCGGAAUGGGCGGUGUAGCGGGGAAAUGCAUAGAUAUCGCGCAGAACUCCGAUUGCGAAGGCAGCAUGCCGGCUCCACACUGACGCUGAGGCACGAAAGCGUGGGUAUCGAACAGGAUUAGAUACCCCUGUAGU